UAUCGUCCCGAAAAGAAUAAAUACGUUGCCGAGGUAUAUAUAUAGAGAAAAUCUGUCGCAACUUCUACAAAUAUUUUUUGUGAGAAGAAUAUAGGAGAAUAUAGUAUUGUAAAGAAUAGAGCAGAAUGAAGACUAUUUUGCUUGCUACGUGUCUGCUAGUCACGGUAGUCGGUUACGCAGUUGAUUAUAAAGGAA
Molecule: long non-coding RNA, 195 nt
Organism: Temnothorax curvispinosus
Lineage: Eukaryota; Metazoa; Arthropoda; Insecta; Hymenoptera; Formicidae
Exons: 3
Source: RefSeq, a predicted model, not a curated record